Oncorhynchus masou masou (cherry salmon) is the source of this 587-nucleotide long non-coding RNA. RefSeq lists it as uncharacterized. NCBI's taxonomy places the organism in Eukaryota, Metazoa, Chordata, Actinopteri, Salmoniformes, Salmonidae. The transcript has 3 exons. The record is from RefSeq and is a predicted model, not a curated record.
AACACUAGAUACUCACUUCCCUUGUGUCAGAUGUGUGUUUGUGUCUUCUCUUAGCCAAGCCAGGAAUCACACAGGGCGGUAAAUAUAUGUAAUUUAGCUAGCUGACGCUUUUAUCCAAACCAAUUACAGUACUGCGUGCAUACAUUUCCGUGUUGUUGGCAGCAGCUAGAUUUGAACCCCCGUUCCUGAUAGUGAUGUGCUCUGUUCCCCUGUCUACCCGUCAGAGAUCCGGAAUGGGAAUCUGAAGACCAUCCUGGGACUCUUCUUCAUCCUGUCUCGCUACAAGCAGCAGCAGCAGCAGCAGCAGCAGUACUACCAGUCCCUGGUAGAGCUUACACACCAGACCACCCUCAAAACGCAACCAGAGAUGCAGUCCAGUCUCACUGCGCGGUAUGGUAGCCCCCCGGGUCACAGCGGAAUAGGAGCAGCACCACAGAAGAAAAACACAAGGUUGCCAGGGCCGACCAGGGUGUCCGCUGCAGGCAGCGGGGCCCCAAAGGGCCAAGGAUCCUCCAACCUCAACAGGAGGAGUCAGAGCUUUAACAGCAUCGAUAAGAGCAAGCCUCUCCAGUAUGCUAGUGGCAAUG